This 72-nucleotide transfer RNA is filed under the name Camelus bactrianus (Bactrian camel). It matches the Rfam family "tRNA". From Rfam's summary of the family: Transfer RNA (tRNA) molecules are approximately 80 nucleotides in length. RNAcentral also lists the same sequence under 2 other names. The record is from Rfam by way of RNAcentral. Lineage: Eukaryota; Metazoa; Chordata; Mammalia; Artiodactyla; Camelidae.
GAGGGUAUAGCUCAAUGGUAGAGAAUAUGCUUAGCAUGCACAAGGUCUUGGGUUCAAACCCUGGUUCCUCCA